CCACCGAAUCAACAGCCGCAGCCAUCAUCGGAGGGCUCCACAGAGCCGGCCUCCUCCUCCUCCGGUACAUGCAGAUAAAUCAGAAUAAGGGCCGACUGAUGCCGGCGAGGACGCCCUGCUCCUGCAGGUUGGCCGUGUCGCAGGCCUCUCGGAGUAGAUCGCCGACGCCCUCUCCACCUUAUUUGGUAACUGAAAUUAUCUUCUCCAUGAGUCUUAGAACUGAAAUCUGGUUUAUAUUCAAAGCUCACAACCGAACAACAAAUUUACUGGUUUCCUCAGUGAGUAAUUGUUUUUUAAUCUUUUGCAGGUUCCAGGAACAUAUUUAGUUUGUGAUAGUUCCCACUCUUUUAUCUCUAAUUAUUAAUUCUGUACUUCUGUAUGUCUUCUUUUGUUGCACAAACUAUGAUUCGCCUAACAUGGCAUGAACGCAUCAUUUUAAAUGGUAGUCAUGAAAUGCAGUGACAACUGAAACCUUCUCAUGCCAUUACUGGAUCUAAUUCAUCAAAUUAGAAACAUGCAGGUAAUCAUAGGUCUAAUAGGAAAACCAAUAGAAGCACCAUAUAAUAUAAGAUCCUCCUCGUACAAUAGAUACAAAAGAAAAUUUGCCCGGGAUCUGAAUUUCACUAGUAGGCUGGGGCUGUGUCCUUGCCCUGUUUGCCUACACAUAUUUGACAUUAGGGCUUAUUUUUAAUACAUGUAAGUCAUGUAUAUAUCUCUUGUAUGUUCAUUCUAUCUUUGUAGGAUCUGAUGCCUUUCUUAUCAAUUGUUUUGUUGAAUUUACAGAUGAAGUACUUUCUUCUUAAAAAAAGGUGAUUAAGAUAUGUUUGACCAGACUACGGUCUAAUCAGAACAAUGGAGCAGGUCAGUGGUGCAAUGGCUAGCUGCCAGGCUUUGAAGUUUGCUGCUCUUAUAAUAAUCGAGGUGUCACACCGAAUUCAGAUGAUGAUCAACUUGCUGGGACUUUUGCCGCGACAGUGUGCAACAAAGGGUAAAAAGGAGAUGUCUUGUAGUACGUUCGAUAGGUUAUAACCGGCCGGUUAGGUAGCUAGCUAACUAAUUUGACCGAGAGACCAUGAGAGUAAGAGAAUUCUGUGGCGGUGGACAAGUUUCAAACAUUGCUGCCUUUGACUUACAAAUUUGAGAACAUCAUUAUUCAUGUUAUCUUGUGUAAUAAAUUGUGGUUUUCUCGGAAUGUUCCGCUCUCGAUGAAUAGUCAGUGUUUCAACCGAUUGGUUUAAACAAAUCUUGUGUAACAAAUACAGAUAGUACUUUUGUUUUUUGAUGUGAUGACUACUAGUACUAAAACUUCUUCGUGGAAA
Molecule: long non-coding RNA, 1319 nt
Organism: Lolium perenne
Lineage: Eukaryota; Viridiplantae; Streptophyta; Magnoliopsida; Poales; Poaceae
Source: RefSeq, a predicted model, not a curated record